Molecule: ribosomal RNA, 457 nt
Filed under: uncultured bacterium
Lineage: Bacteria
Description: bacterial SSU rRNA
Rfam family: Bacterial small subunit ribosomal RNA
Source: RNAcentral
GACGAACGCUGGCGGCGUGCUUAACACAUGCAAGUCGAACGGGAGUACUUUGAAAGCUUGCUGAUAAGUACUUUAGUGGCGGACGGGUGAGUAACGCGUGAGGAGCUGUCUUAUGCAGGGGGACAACAGUUGGAAACGGCUGCUAAUACCCCAUAAGCCGAGAGGUAAAAGGAGCAAUCCGGCAGAGGAGGUACUCGCGUCCUAUCAGCUAGUAGGUUGGGUAACGGCCGACCUAGGCGAAGACGGGUAGCCGGCCUGAGAGGGCGAACGGCCAACGACUGGAACUGAGAUACGGUCCAGACUCCUACGGGAGGCAGCAGUGGGGAAUAUUGGGCAAUGGGGGCAACCCUGACCCAGCGACGUCGCGUGGGUGAAGAAAUCCUUCGGGAUGUAAAGCCCUGUUGUAUGGGAAGAGCAGAAGACGGUACCAUACGAGGAAGCCCCGGCAAACUACGUG